This 492-nucleotide ribosomal RNA is filed under the name uncultured bacterium. RNAcentral's name for it is "partial 16S ribosomal RNA". It matches the Rfam family "Bacterial small subunit ribosomal RNA", at positions 29 to 507 of the family's 1533-position model. The record is from RNAcentral.
AGUGAACGCUGGCGGUAGGCCUAACACAUGCAAGUCGAACGGCAGCACAGUAAGAGCUUGCUCUUACGGGUGGCGAGUGGCGGACGGGUGAGGAAUACAUCGGAAUCUACUUUUUCGUGGGGGAUAACGUAGGGAAACUUACGCUAAUACCGCAUACGACCUACGGGUGAAAGCAGGGGAUCUUCGGACCUUGCACGAUUGAAUGAGCCGAUGUCGGAUUAGCUAGUUGGCGGGGUAAAGGCCCACCAAGGCGACGAUCCGUAGCUGGUCUGAGAGGAUGAUCAGCCACACUGGAACUGAGACACGGUCCAGACUCCUACGGGAGGCAGCAGUGGGGAAUAUUGGACAAUGGGCGCAAGCCUGAUCCAGCCGUACCGCGUGGGUGAAGAAGGCCUUCGGGUUGUAAAGCCCUUUUGUUGGGAAAGAAAAGCAGCAGGUUAAUACCCCGCUGUUCUGACGGUACCCAAAGAAUAAGCACCGGCUAACUUCGUG